UCGGGAAUUUUGGGCAAUGGGCGAAAGCCUGACCCAGCAACGCCGCGUGAAGGAUGAAGUGUUUCGGUAUGUAAACUUCGAAAGAAUAGGAAGAAUAAAUGACGGUACUAUUUAUAAGGUCCGGCUAACUACGUGCCAGCAGCCGCGGUAAUACGUAGGGACCAAGCGUUGUUCGGAUUUACUGGGCGUAAAGGGCGCGUAGGCGGCAAUUCAAGUCAUCUGUGAAAUCUCCGGGCUUAACUCGGAACGGUCAGAUGAUACUGCUUUGCUAGAGUGCAGAAGGGGCAAUCGGAAUUCUUGGUGUAGCGGUGAAAUGCGUAGAUAUCAAGAGGAACACCUGAGGUGAAGACGGGUUGCUGGGCUGACACUGACGCUGAGGCGCGAAAGCCAGGGGAGCAAACGGGAUUAGAUACCCAAGUAGUCCCUGAGCGGGCUGGCAAGGCGCAU
RNAcentral lists this ribosomal RNA (447 nucleotides) under uncultured bacterium. Its description in RNAcentral is "bacterial SSU rRNA". It matches the Rfam family "Bacterial small subunit ribosomal RNA", at positions 355 to 825 of the family's 1533-position model. The record is from RNAcentral.